AUUUUUGCCCAAUUUCCUUUCCCGUCUAGUAUGAUUCUAAACCUAAUUCUUUCCCUCCAUCACAUUCCUAAACCUAAUUCUAUCCUCCCUCCCAUUCAACGUCUCAUACACAGGAAAUAGAAUCUUCUCUCCCCAAACAAGACAAGACACAGCGACUACGUACAAGGGCGACAACUAGUGGCGAUUACUGCUCCAACAUUUGUAAUCGGUACAAUAUCUGAAUCGCUUCGAUCGUCGACCGAACAUUUGAAGUCGUCAUUCCCCAAUUCUCCAUUGAAGAGAGGACUAUAAUCUAUAACUACAUAACCAUGCCUGCUUAUGGAUGCUCAAUUGAGAAGUCUUAUGAUGUAUAGCAUAAUGCGGAACCUGAGGCUGCAGAUCUCUUGAUGGAGGUAUUCUACUUUAUGACUUUAGAGACGGAGGAUGGUUCCAGCCCAACACCCUUUGAGAGGGGUGCAUGCUAAUGAAGUCGUUUGAUUUUCAUCACACUGAGCCUCCACCAAAUGAUUACGUGGCGGAAGUCAGUCCAAGUAAUCUUUCAAUGCGAGUUGGUCAAAGCAUACGUGAUACAUUUGCCCGUUUCCCGUUUUGAGCUAGGUUGUAUGCCACCUAGGCAUCCAACACCUAGGUCAGUUGAUGCAGCAGAUCUGGAUUAUUUUGAUGUUGUUUAUUUUCAUGACCGGAUCUUCAUUUGCAUUAGCACACAUCCAAAUUUUGAUGACUGCUUCAAAAUAUGUUUCCAACCGUAUGGGCUAAUCAUAGUGAUGAUAUAGGCAUCCAGUAGUAUUCUUGGACCCUGCCCUAAAAGGUGAUUUUCAGGUACAUCAACAUGAACAGACAGGUCCUGGCAUUGCACUUCAGCCCCCAACAUAACCUUUCUCUAGCAAAGAAUCCCAUUAUUGAUCGAAUCGAGGCGGAUCCAAUUCAUUGGAAACUCUUUAACUAGUAACGAAUUAUCAUCUAUUUCAAGAAGUUACGAUAAUGAUGGUAUAGUUGAAACACAUUGUUUGGACAUCAAGGAAUUGUAAACCCUAAUUGAAUGUAAACACUUACAUCGAGUUUA
This is a long non-coding RNA of Helianthus annuus (common sunflower), 1063 nucleotides long. RefSeq lists it as uncharacterized. The record is from RefSeq and is a predicted model, not a curated record. The transcript is spliced from 6 exons. Lineage: Eukaryota; Viridiplantae; Streptophyta; Magnoliopsida; Asterales; Asteraceae.